UAGUUGGUGAGGUAAUGGCUCACCAAGGCAAUGACGCCUAACUGGUUUGAGAGGAUGAUCAGUCACACUGGAACUGAGACACGGUCCAGACUCCUACGGGAGGCAGCAGUGGGGAAUAUUGCACAAUGGAGGAAACUCUGAUGCAGCAACGCCGCGUGGAGGAUGACACUUUUCGGAGCGUAAACUCCUUUUAUAUAGGAAGAUAAUGACGGUACUAUAUGAAUAAGCACCGGCUAACUCCGUGCCAGCAGCCGCGGUAAUACGGAGGGUGCAAGCGUUACUCGGAAUCACUGGGCGUAAAGAGCGUGUAGGCGGGUUAAUAAGUUGGAAGUGAAAUCCUAUAGCUCAACUAUAGAACUGCUUUCAAAACUGUUAACCUAGAAUAUGGGAGAGGUAGAUGGAAUUUCUGGUGUAGGGGUAAAAUCCGUAGAGAUCAGAAGGAAUACCGAUUGCGAAGGCGAUCUACUGGAACAUUAUUGACGCUGAGACGCGAAAGCGUGGGGAGCAAACAGGAUUAGAUACCCUGGUAGUCCACGCCCUAAACGAUGUACACUAGUUGUUGCGAUGCUAGACAUUGCAGUAAUGCAGUUAACACAUUAAGUGUACCGCCUGGGGAGUACGGUCGCAAGAUUAAAACUCAAAGGAAUAGACGGGGACCCGCACAAGCGGUGGAGCAUGUGGUUUAAUUCGACGAUACGCGAAGAACCUUACCUGGACUUGACAUUUACAGAAUUUUUCAGAGAUGAAUUAGUGUCUGCUUGCAGAAACUGUAGGACAGGUGCUGCACGGCUGUCGUCAGCUCGUGUCGUGAGAUGUUGGGUUAAGUCCCGCAACGAGCGCAACCCACGUCGUUAGUUGCUAACAGUUCGGCUGAGAACUCUAACGAGACUGCCUGGGCAACCAGGAGGAAGGUGUGGACGACGUCAAGUCAUCAUGGCCCUUACGUCCAGGGCUACACACGUACUACAAUGGGGCAUACAAAGAGCAGCGAUACCGCGAGGUGGAGCAAAUCUCAAAAAUGCCUCCCAGUUCGGAUAGUAGUCUGCAACUCGACUACUUGAAGUUGGAAUCGCUAGUAAUCGUAGAUCAGCAAUGCUACGGUGAAUACGUUCCCGGGUCUUGUACUCACCGCCCGUCACACCAUGGGAGUUGAACUCAUUCGAAGCGGGGAUGCUAAGAUAGCUACCCUCCACAGUGGAUUCAGCGACUGGGGUG
This 1215-nucleotide ribosomal RNA is filed under the name uncultured bacterium. RNAcentral's name for it is "bacterial SSU rRNA". It matches the Rfam family "Bacterial small subunit ribosomal RNA", at positions 246 to 1482 of the family's 1533-position model. The record is from RNAcentral.